CAAGGUGAUGUGGCACCUCUCUAUGGCCACCAUUGGUAUUUAUCUUUUUUGUCAAUUUUUUGACAUUUUACCUCAUUUUUCUAAUUAAAAUGAAAUAUAAUCAUGAAAAAAAAAUUCAAUUCAAGCAUUAAAAGGUUACUUAUUGCAAUUAGAUGCUCAAUGUUCAAUUCUUUAAUCAUGGAGAAAAAGGAACGCAUACCGUCUCCAUUUUGGGGCAAUACUGAUAUGGCCUUUUCUUCCAAUUUUUUAGUAUAAUAGCUCUCAUUAAUCACUGCCUUAACUUGACCAACUCAACACUAUUCUAAUAUGCAUAAUUAACCUGAUGAAUAUGAAGAAAAGAAACGGCAAAUAUCAAAACAUAAGCUUUUAAUUACAAUAAUUAUAAUAAAUCCAUCAAACAUGUGGCAGAGAUUAUGGAGGAGAAGAAGAGUUGUGCAAGUUAUGGAGGUUGGCUAUAUAUCAGCUUGUAAAAUUGUUGCGUCUCGGAUGUAGCAUCUAAAGGAAAUUCUCAACACCCAGCAACAAUGACUUCAAACUUUCUUUUGUUUUCGCAUGUUGAAUUAAUUAAAUAUAUAUCUUAUGAUCUUACUUCAAAGAUACAACACCAUCUUCUCCAUAUUUUUACAGCUUCAUUGGUGGCUUUUUUGCAGCCAUGAAAACAGAACAAAAAUUAUCAGGAAAAUCGAAGGUCAAAACCAACGAAAUAAAACCGAAUUUGACAAUAUCGGAAAAGAAUGGUUUGGAAGAUAAACCGAUAGAAUCCGUCAAAAAAUCCUGAACUCCAGUGUAACUUCCGUCUUUGGUCAGUGUCUUUUUCAAGAUCGGAGGAGAUCCUUGGGAGUGGACGUGGUUUAAACCGAGGGAGACCAUCGGUUGUCUAAAUAUAUAAAUUCCGGUUUGUAUAUGAUAAAAAAUAUAUUUAUAUACAAUGUUUUUUAGUAUAAUAUGUUUAUAUAGGUGGGGGUUAUGUAACUGUAUAUUCUUGAAUGAAUACUAAUAAGUUGAUGUCAACUUCUUUCCUGCAAUCUUCAUGGACUAAAGUGGUAGUACGAAGAUGAUUGACUAUGAGGAAUAAAUGGGAGGAACUUCAUUCAGAUCGCAUAUUCGAUGGUUUGUUGAUUUUUAUUGAUGAAAUAAAUCAAUAGUAACGGGCAGAGGAGAAAGAAGAGGAAUAGUUGCUUUAUGUAUAUGCGGUUAUAAUGUUUUUUAUAUUAGUUAUACCAGGAGCUAGGUCAAACAAAAUAAAUA
Molecule: long non-coding RNA, 1248 nt
Organism: Lycium barbarum (goji berry)
Lineage: Eukaryota; Viridiplantae; Streptophyta; Magnoliopsida; Solanales; Solanaceae
Exons: 3
Source: RefSeq, a predicted model, not a curated record